This 153-nucleotide ribosomal RNA is filed under the name uncultured Actinomycetes bacterium. RNAcentral describes it as "uncultured actinobacterium partial 16S ribosomal RNA". It matches the Rfam family "Bacterial small subunit ribosomal RNA", at positions 335 to 504 of the family's 1533-position model. The record is from RNAcentral. Lineage: Bacteria; Bacillati; Actinomycetota; Actinomycetes.
ACUCCUACGGNAGGCAGCAGCAGGGAAUCUUGCGCAAUGGACGAAAGUCUNACGCAGCGACACCGCGUGGGGGAUGAAGGCCUUCGGGUUGUAAACCCCUUUCAGGAGGGAAGAAAUUGACGGGUACCUCCAAAAGAAGCACCGGCCAACUAC